This 122-nucleotide ribosomal RNA is filed under the name Candidatus Bathyarchaeota archaeon. Lineage: Archaea; Thermoproteati; Candidatus Bathyarchaeota. The record is from RNAcentral.
GUUGGCGGCCAUAGCUGGAGGCUAGGACCCGUUCCCAUUUCGAACACGGAAGUGAAUCCUCCAGGCGAUCUAAGCGGUAGUGUGGUGCGAAAGCCCACGCGAAGCUUAGACCGCUGCCAACU